RNAcentral lists this ribosomal RNA (264 nucleotides) under uncultured archaeon. RNAcentral's name for it is "partial 16S ribosomal RNA". It matches the Rfam family "Archaeal small subunit ribosomal RNA", at positions 717 to 982 of the family's 1478-position model. The record is from RNAcentral.
ACACGACUACAUUAGAUACCCGCGUAGUCCUAGCCGUAAACGAUACUCGCUAGGUGUCGGCCACGGUGCGACCGUUGUCGGUGCCGUAGGGAAGCCGUGAAGCGAGCCACCUGGGAAGUACGGCCGCAAGGCUGAAACUUAAGGAAUUGGCGGGGGAGCACCACAACGGGGGGAGCUUGCGGUUUAAUUGGAUUCAACGCCGGAAAUCUUACCGGGACCGACAGCAACAUGAAGGCCAGGCUGAAGACUUUGCCGGAUUAGCUG